This 158-nucleotide small nuclear RNA is filed under the name Phascolarctos cinereus (koala). Its description in RNAcentral is "U1 spliceosomal RNA (ENSPCIG00000031558.1)". It matches the Rfam family "U1 spliceosomal RNA". Rfam says of the family: U1 is a small nuclear RNA (snRNA) component of the spliceosome (involved in pre-mRNA splicing). Its 5' end forms complementary base pairs with the 5' splice junction, thus defining the 5' donor site of an intron. Lineage: Eukaryota; Metazoa; Chordata; Mammalia; Diprotodontia; Phascolarctidae. The record is from RNAcentral.
AAGCAGAAGUAGUGGGUGAUUCCAUGAUCACAAAGGUGGUUUUCCCAGGCCAAGGCCUAUCCAUUGCACUUCGGAUGAGCUGACCCUCUGAUUUCCCCCAAAUACGUGGAAACUCAACUGUGUAAUUUGUGGCCUUAGAUACAUAAAUGUAUAGCUAG